Molecule: ribosomal RNA, 1062 nt
Filed under: uncultured bacterium
Lineage: Bacteria
Description: bacterial SSU rRNA
Rfam family: Bacterial small subunit ribosomal RNA
Source: RNAcentral
GAGACACCAGUAAGAGAAAUCAGUCAAACAGCGAGAGCCAUACGCCAGCCCAGGAGCCAGCAGGAAGGCGGCCCGUACGGGAGCCAAACAGCUUUUUUACGGCAACAAAGACGCACACAGAGGCAAGUGUGUGCGGGGUCCGCAAGAAUAAGGACCAUAAAAUCCGGCGCCAGCAGCCCCGGCAACCCGGAAGGUCCGGGAGGUCCCACGAUUAUCUUGGUCUAAAGGGAGCACAGACCGCCCCACCAGCGUCAUGUAAAAUGUAGGCGCCCCCCGCCCACACAGCAGCGCGCACUGCUGGGCUUGAGUACGCACAACGAUGGCGGAACUCGCCGUGUAGCGGUGAAAUGCUUAGAUAUGGGGAAGAACUCCGAUUGGGAAGGCAGCUGACGGGAGCGCAACUGACGCUCGUGCUCGAAAGUGCGGGUAUCGAACAGGAUUAGAUACCCUGGUAGUCCGCACGGGUAAACGAUGGACGCCCGCUAUCCGUCCUUUGGGAUGUGUGGCCAAGCGAAAGCGUUAAGCAUCCCACCUGGGGGAGUACGCCGGCAACGGUGAAACUCAAAGGAAUUGACGGGGGCCCGCACAAGCGGAGGAACAUGUGGUUUAAUUCGAUGAUACGCGAGGAACCUUACCCGGGCUUGAAUUGCAGAUGAAGGAGACAGAGAUGUUGACGCCCCGCAAGGGGCAUCUGUGAAGGUGCUGCAUGGUUGUCGUCAGCUCGUGCCGUGAGGUGUCGGCUUAAGUGCCAUAACGAGCGCAACCCCUCUCCGUAGUUGCCAUCAGGUUAGGCUGGGCACUCUGCGGACACUGCCACCGUAAGGUGCGAGGAAGGUGGGGAUGACGUCAAAUCAGCACGGCCCUUACGUCCGGGGCUACACACGUGUUACAAUGGCCGGUACAGAGAGUCAGGUGCCUGCAAAGUCACCUUAAUCACGAAAUCCGGUCUCAGUUCGGACUGGGGUCUGCAACCCGACCCCACGAAGCUGGAUUCGCUAGUAAUCGCGCAUCAGCACGGCGCGGUGAAUACGUUCCCGGGCCUUGCACACACCGCCCGUCAAG